This 245-nucleotide ribosomal RNA is filed under the name uncultured bacterium. Its description in RNAcentral is "partial 16S ribosomal RNA". It matches the Rfam family "Bacterial small subunit ribosomal RNA", at positions 524 to 767 of the family's 1533-position model. The record is from RNAcentral.
UACGAAGGGGGCUAGCGUUGCUCGGAAUCACUGGGCGUAAAGGGUGCGUAGGCGGGUCUUUUAAGUCAGGGGUGAAAUCCUGGAGCUCAACUCCAGAACUGCCUUUGAUACUGAGGAUCUUGAGUUCGGGAGAGGUGAGUGGAACUGCGAGUGUAGAGGUGAAAUUCGUAGAUAUUCGCAAGAACACCAGUGGCGAAGGCGGCUCACUGGCCCGAUACUGACGCUGAGGCACGAAAGCAUGGGGA